AUCAGGGCAAAAUAUGAGUAAAUAAUGUUGUGUUUUUGGUGUAAAAGCAUAUGUGGAACUCAUUUGCAUGUUCAUAUGGAAUGUGUUGCAUAAGUGUUUCAGGUCUUGCAGUUUCAUCUUCCAUGUGAUGUUGUGUCUAUUCCCAAUAGGCACGAAGAGAACACUUCAAGUUGGCUGCUUUUGCAUGCAAAUAUUUGCCUGAAAUAUAUUUGUAAGGUCACUCACAAACGAAGCCUUGAAAAUCACAAAAAAAAAAAAAACCCAGCAAGUUUUCACAAUUGAAAUUAAGUAGGUCAAGAUUCCACCUAGCCUGUCUGGUAACGUGUUCUACAAGCUAAUAAGUUUGUGAGAGAAAAACCACAUGUAUAAGGUUGCCAAGGUGAGCAUACAACCUCAUUACAAACCCAUGAACAGCAGAUAUAAUCUCUGAUUUUUGUUUUAUCUUUACCAAAUGAUAUACUCUUAAAAUACCUUACUAUACAUACAAACUUUGGGGGAUAUUGCCAUAGGUAAAAGUUAUUCUAUUAAUGUGAUUAGUUGCUAUGCUGAUUACUGAAUGUAUCCCUUCAUCUUAAUAAGCAGGAACACCUGGAAGAUAUGCCUUAUGUAACUACAUACCGUUUGUUUCUUAAAAUAAGAUAAGAGGGAUGGAUAAAAGAGACCUGUGGUGUCACAGUGUGACUGACCCCUUUAAGAGGGAGCAGAGCCAGUGCAUCUGUGAUUGGUCAGCUGAUCCCAAUGGUUUAAAAGCGGGGCGGGCAAUCUGGGCCUAGAGGAGAGAGACCUGAAACAGACAAAUGCAAAGUUCCCUGGAUAUCAGGGAGACUGCAGAGAACAAGCUGAAGAUUGGGGAUGUCUGGACACACUCAGUUUGCAUGUUUGCAAACAAAGCAUGGGAAAGUCACAUGCCAUGUCAACGCUUGAAUUCAUUCGACACAUUCUUCUGACACUAGAGCAGAAAAAAGAGCUCCUUCUAGGAAGUGUACAGCCUACCACAUUCUUUUUGGCUGACCUAUGAGGGACAAAAACUUGUUAAUCAUCACCUGAGUGAUUCCUACCGUGAUAAGAAAAUGUAUUAUUGCCCUUGAUUGCAAGAGAUUUUUAGGAAGCAUCCUGAAAAUACAAUGAACUAAGGCUACGUGCUUUCAUCUGUUUUCCUUCAUUGAUCAUGAUCUGUUACUGCACAGCUACUGUUUCUGCAAUUCAUAUUUUUUCUGCUGUUCUGUGAUGAAAGUGAAUAAACAUAUUAGAACUACACACAUCUACUAAGAGUCAAAAAUAAAGGCUUGAGAUGACUAAUAUAAAUCACUGUUUAAAGGAGGGCUAGUAAGUCAGCUACAUUCCUAUCCUAAUGGCUAGAAGCUAAAUGGUUGCUCCCUGCUGAGUCAAUAAAAAGGUUUCAACUUGGUUUUUAAUGCUGCAUGGGGGCUGUGCAGAGAUCUGUAUGAAAUGUAUUUAUUAGUAAUAGCUUAGGGUCCAAACUUGUGAGACUUCCCUCCCAAUAUUGCCAAUCCCACAAAAAUCAUGAGCCAAGCCCCACAAAAUCAUGCUUCUCAAAACUGAAAGCUAAGAUUCCCAUGUAAUCACAGGGCUCCAGGAGCUGGGGCCGUUAGGAAAAAAAAAUCAAAUAUCGGGAGUCUUACAAAACAAGUGUUGGUAGCCCUGCUCACAGUUGCAGUUCAGCACCUCACAGGAUCAGAUCCUUUUUGCUUAUUGUACUAUUAUAUACUUAAGCAUCUCCCUAUACAAGUGAAUCUUUCUGUUCCCCCUCAAGAUUUAGGGAAGCGCUUGAAUUGUCAGUUUCUUAUUUCUGCCCACCAAACACUUUGCUGGCACUUCAAUAACUCACACACAUAAGACCUGUGCAAGCUUAGCUUCUGAUAGUUGAAUUUGCCUAUGGGCCCCUAAAAUGUACCAGGGUUCCCUGAGCCCCUUAAAGGUACCAGGUUUCCACCACUGUCACCUUUGUAAUUGACCAUACCCUGGAACACCAAACUCUUCAAGAUAGUUGGUAGCAUGCCAGGUGUACUGCAGACUCGGAGGCAAGCUCUCUCAUGACUGACUGAAAGGAGUGGGAAGGCUGACAGAAAGGAAAGGGUGUGAAUACUGUAGCUAUAGUGGCUUAGGCAGUUAGAACAGAAGAUCAAUGCCGUAAUUCGUUACUCACCUUAGGACCCUUCUAGUAUUAUCCAAUCCUUUAUUAGAGGACAAUUAAGUUCUGGCCUGUAGAUCUCUCUAGCUAGAGUUGAGUUCUACCAUCUGUAGUCUCAUUGGUGGCCCCGCUGCAUUGUCCUCCUGUCACCCUGUCAUAGUGUUAGCUUCAGACCUGCUUACAAGCUACUACAGCUGUAUGAUGCUUCUACUACUACGACUGUGACCUCGUGUCAAUAUAGCCUAAUUCCUACUCAAGUCUCUGAUUCCUCACCUCGGUGCCAGGCUCGCUGUUGCUGCUGCUACAGUCCAAGUAAGAGGUCGCUGGCAGCUGGCCUAUGACCCUUUGAGUCACUCCUCAGGAGGGGAAGCAAAUGAGUGAAUUGGCUGUUCCAUAGAUUCAUCACACUAGCUUUGCAUCUGACAAUGGCUUUGAUUAAAGGAUCUGCAAGCAUUGCACAAGUGCCAAAGCGGACAGAAUGUGCCUGAUUUCUAAAAUAGUCCCCCAACACUUGUAAUUCCAGGUUUUCACCCAUGAAUAACUGCUGACACAAAAGUGGAGUUAUAAUUAGCAAAUGUAAAGCAGAAUCACUUCAGUUUUCCUGCAUUCAAGAAUAGUGCUUGAGUUACCUAACUUAUAUGUGCAAAUACACAUGUGCACAUGCAAAUAGAAACAUGCACAAAGUGUAUGUGUCUGUAAAGAUAGAAGGUGGUUUGAUAAUAGAUGAAAAAUUGGCCUUUGUGGUGUUGUAUGAUGGAUGGAUGUUGGAAAAUAAUGGUGAAUGUUGUAAAAGGACUACAACCUCACUGCAGAAUGAGCACUCCCAUCCCUCCGCUGGCAUGACCUAGGAACAUGCUUUCAGGAUUCCUUUCCUGCCAGAAGGUCUGUCUCUGGCAACAUUUCUAAGGAUGCUCAGAUCUGUGGUUAAAGAGAGUAUAUAGGUAUUGAGUUUUUUCUCUUAACUGGUACAAAGUAAAAUAAAUCUAUGGACAGGAAGGGUCAAUAGAAGUAACUUCAGCCAAUAUGGAAUCAGUACAGGCAGUUCCUGUAGCUAGGGUGACCAGAUGUCCUGAUUUUAUAGGGACAGUCCCAAUUUUUGGGUCUUCUUCUUAUAUAGGUUCCUAUUACCCUCCACCCCCGUCUCGAUUUUUCAUGUUUGCUGUCUGGUCAGGUCACCCUACCUGUAGCACAGCUGUAAUAAAGCUGUACGUAGGAAUUCUGGUGAGAGUCUAAUCUCUGUUUCCCAGCCAGAGUCACAUGACAUAGAUCAAAGUUAUAUCCCGCCUCAAGAGCACUCCACAUUGGACUAAUUCUGCUCCCACUGAAAAUAAUGGGAGUAGAAUUAGGCCAACACUGAGUGUUUCUGAAAAUCCCAUCUUAUGUGUAGAACACCCCCACCAUAUCAGUUAGCCAAACUGCCACCUGCGCUUCACUCAAGUCCCUCUUAAACUCAUCAGUCCUCACAAGGAGUUAGUUUUUAUUCCCUGCUUCUUGUUUUCCCAGCACAUCCCUCCUUGAUUCAUCUGGCUGUUAAACACUUGGCAGCAUAUUGUUGGCACUAAACAAAUAAUAAAAAUAACAAAAAUAAAACAUUACAUAAAAUGCAACUAUUUUAACAUGCUACAUUCUGUCUCAAGGAAAUGUCAGGCACAUUAGCAAAAAAGAUCACUGUGAGGGUAUAGUUUCACCCCUGGGAAUUUUUUUUUUUUGCCAUCUUGCUCUUUUUGUUAUUGAUCUGAGGAAAAAUCAAAUUACAAAUGCUCAAAACUUUGCAUCCCCAUUUAAUAUUAUCCAGGGUGGUGCCUCUUCUGCAGUUUUGCUCACAUGUUAAUAAAUUUUUCUCAUUUGUGAGAGUCACUGAACAGAGCCUGUGAAUUGUUUUACCCAGUAGGGGGUAGAGCAAUAAUGAAGCAUUGUGAUUAAGUAGUGUUGGAACCUCUUGCCUUCUUCACUAAGUGGGAAGCACCAUUAGUAGUAAAAGUAAUUACCUGUGUAGAACAUGCUGAUUGCAUCGAGUAUCUACUACAUGAUACCAAGAGUCUUGUAAACUUUAGGGGCUGUAAGAGAUUUUCAUUUGCUAAUUUCACAUUUUAAGCAGCAGCACAUAAUUUUUUAAAUGCGUUGGUGUUUAAAUUACAAAUAAACUUUGUAAAGAGCUUUUCCCCCAAGACUAUUCGUUUUUCAUCAAUGGUUGUUUUGGAAAAAAAAAAGGAA
Dermochelys coriacea (leatherback sea turtle) is the source of this 4366-nucleotide long non-coding RNA. RefSeq lists it as uncharacterized. The record is from RefSeq and is a predicted model, not a curated record. Lineage: Eukaryota; Metazoa; Chordata; Testudines; Dermochelyidae. The transcript has 3 exons.